This 389-nucleotide small RNA is filed under the name Arabidopsis thaliana (thale cress). RNAcentral describes it as "ATSL052470". The record is from RNAcentral. Lineage: Eukaryota; Viridiplantae; Streptophyta; Magnoliopsida; Brassicales; Brassicaceae.
UUUUUUUUAAAGAUUCUGUUCAUGUAAAAGAAUUUCAUAAUAAUAUUUUUUCUUAAAAAUUCAUAACGUUUUUUGAAAUAACAUGUUUUUAAACUAAAUAUAACAUGUGAAAUUUUAAUGUUACAUGCUAUUUUGAAAAAUUACACAGAUGUGUUUCGUUUACUGUUCAUCUUACAACAAAUGAAGGGUAGCUUUGUUAUUUCUUUUCUUCCGACAACGUAGGUCCAUGGUUAUUUUGUAACAAAAAACUUUCUCUCUGCUAGUUUCUUAAUUUAUAUGUUUUAUUUGGUUAUCUACUAAUAUUACCCUAUUUAUUAAGCUAUUUUUCGGGAUAAGUUUUUUUUUUCUUUAUUUUGUUAUGUUUUUGGAGAUAAAUUUACGUUAAUGUU